This 317-nucleotide ribosomal RNA is filed under the name uncultured Ganoderma. RNAcentral's name for it is "partial large subunit ribosomal RNA". It matches the Rfam family "Eukaryotic large subunit ribosomal RNA", at positions 40 to 350 of the family's 3401-position model. Lineage: Eukaryota; Fungi; Basidiomycota; Agaricomycetes; Polyporales; Polyporaceae. The record is from RNAcentral.
AUAUCAAUAAGCGGAGGAAAAGAAACUAACAAGGAUUCCCCUAGUAACUGCGAGUGAAGCGGGAAGAGCUCAAAUUUAAAAUCUGGCGUGCCUCUGGUCGUCCGAGUUGUAGUCUGGAGAAGCGUUUUCCGUGUUGGACCGUGUAUAAGUCCCUUGGAACAGGGCGUCAUAGAGGGUGAGAAUCCCGUGCUUGACGCGACGACCGGUGCUCUGUGAUACGUUCUCUACGAGUCGAGUUGUUUGGGAAUGCAGCUCUAAAUGGGUGGUAGACUCCAUCUAAGGCUAAAUAUUGGCGAGAGACCGAUAGCGCACAAGUA